RNAcentral lists this non-coding RNA (24 nucleotides) under Cricetulus griseus (Chinese hamster). Lineage: Eukaryota; Metazoa; Chordata; Mammalia; Rodentia; Cricetidae. The record is from RNAcentral.
GAGACGAGAGGAGGAAAGGGUGGG